Oreochromis aureus is the source of this 487-nucleotide long non-coding RNA. The record is from Ensembl. Lineage: Eukaryota; Metazoa; Chordata; Actinopteri; Cichliformes; Cichlidae.
GCUGGCAGCUGCUCUCAUCAUUAUUUAUCGUCUCUUUGAAAACAUGAGAACUAAAGAAACACUGAAAACACAGAACUACAAAAAUCCCUCCAGUGUAAACAAACCUCACUGACUGACUGGUUUGUUUGUUCCUUUUUAAUCAACGUUUGACAGAAUUAAAACUAACAAACAGCACGAAAACCUGAAACAUGACGAACUGAAGUGUGAAAGAAAUCUCACAGAGACUCUCUCUAAGAUAAAAUCAUGCAGCACGGUGCAGCCGACCUUUCCAGGACCUAAAGUAAUAAAUGAUCCUUGUUAUUAAUGUGAAGAAGGCUGGGAGCUACAUGGAGGAAAGUGCUAUUACUUCUCCAACAGUAAAUCAUCCUGGAAACAGAGCAGAGAUGAGUGUAAAGCUAAAGGAGGAGACCUGGUUAAGAUAGAGAGCAGAGAGGAGCAGCACAGAAAACUCUAACAAGGUAAAGUUAAUCAAAAUUUUAUGUUCUGG